CCAUCGUCUGCUAUGGCAGCCAGGCAUAAACACGGGCCCCUGUGCCAUACAUAGGGGUUUAUCGUGUAUGUUGAAAUCUACAUCCACUUGGAAUAAACAGAACUUACAACCCUGCA
This 116-nucleotide long non-coding RNA is filed under the name Haliotis rubra (blacklip abalone). Its description in RNAcentral is "uncharacterized LOC124262737". The record is from RNAcentral. Lineage: Eukaryota; Metazoa; Mollusca; Gastropoda; Lepetellida; Haliotidae.